AUGCGAACGGAAAGCGACGCCGCGGUCCAGUUCGGAAAGGCCCCUUUUCCCCGGGCCCUUUACGCGCAGCAAGCAGUCCAACUUUAUAAAUUAAUGUCGGCCCGGCCCCAACGACGCCACCCAAAAGGAAAUGGGACACGCAUAAAACAACAAGGACGCCAACAAAAUAACAAGAGCAGAAUUCUAUCCCCCGGAAGAACAGGCGGAGGGGAGGCGAGGAGAGGAGAACGACGAGAGCGAGGACCCGAUCCCCGCCGUGCCGUCUCCUCCGUGUUUCCGAUCGAUCGCCCGGUCCUCCGGCUAGAAAUGGCGCAAGAGAGUUGGAAAGAGGCAGAGGAUACGGGUGUCCACGCGCCCGAGGCUCCGAUAAUGUGCAUGAACAACUGUGGCUUCUUCGGCAACCGGAUGACCGAAAACAUGUGCUCGAAGUGUUACCGAGACACUGUCAAGGCCAAGAAGAUGGCCCUUCUAGUUGAGAACAAAACUGCCGCUGCUGUUGCAUCGUCACCCACACCAUUGGUGGCCGAGAUCAAGGAUGAAGCGUCUGCCUCAGCCAAAGAAGGAAAACAAGUAGCCGAGGAGGAGGCGCCGAAGCCACCGAGCAACCGCUGCCUGUCGUGCCGGAAGAAGGUCGGGCUGACGGGGUUCAAGUGCCGCUGCGGAGACACCUUCUGCUCGAUGCACCGCUACGCCGACGCGCACGAUUGCAAGUUCGACUACAAGCAGGCCGGCAGGGAGCAGAUCGCCCAGCAGAACCCCGUGGUCAAGGCUGACAAGGUCACCAGAUUCUGA
Molecule: ribosomal RNA, 792 nt
Filed under: Triticum aestivum (bread wheat)
Lineage: Eukaryota; Viridiplantae; Streptophyta; Magnoliopsida; Poales; Poaceae
Description: partial small subunit ribosomal RNA
Source: RNAcentral